GACGAACGCUGGCGGCGUGCCUAAUACAUGCAAGUAGAACGCACAGUUUAUACCGUAGCUUGCUACACCAUAGACUGUGAGUUGCGAACGGGUGAGUAACGCGUAGGUAACCUGCCUGGUAGCGGGGGAUAACUAUUGGAAACGAUAGCUAAUACCGCAUAAUAUUAAUUAUUGCAUGAUAAUUAAUUGAAAGGUGCAAUUGCACCACUACCAGAUGGACCUGCGUUGUAUUAGCUAGUAGGUGAGGUAACGGCUCACCUAGGCGACGAUACAUAGCCGACCUGAGAGGGUGGUCGGCCACACUGGGACUGAGACACGGCCCAGACGCCUACGGGAGGCAGCAGUAGGGAAUCUUCGGCAAUGGACGAAAGUCUGACCGAGCAACGCCGCGGGAGUGAAGAAGGUUUUCGGAUCGUAAAGCUCGGUUGUAAGAGAAGAACGGGUGUGAGAGUGGAAAGUUCACACUGUGACGGUAUCUGACCAGAAAGGGACGGCUAACUACGUG
Molecule: ribosomal RNA, 505 nt
Filed under: uncultured bacterium
Lineage: Bacteria
Description: partial 16S ribosomal RNA
Rfam family: Bacterial small subunit ribosomal RNA
Source: RNAcentral